This 494-nucleotide ribosomal RNA is filed under the name uncultured bacterium. Its description in RNAcentral is "partial 16S ribosomal RNA". It matches the Rfam family "Bacterial small subunit ribosomal RNA", at positions 28 to 507 of the family's 1533-position model. The record is from RNAcentral.
GACGAACGCUGGCGGCGUGCCUAAUACAUGCAAGUAGAACGCUGAAGGAGGAGCUUGCUCUUCUGGAUGAGUUGCGAACGGGUGAGUAACGCGUAGGUAACCUGCCUGGUAGCGGGGAUUACCUUUUGAAACGAUUGCCUAUUCCGCCUUACAGUAGAUGCCUCAUUACCUUUUCUUAAAAGGUUCCAUUUCAUUACCUCCCGAUUGACCUGCGUUGUAUUAGCUAGGUGGUGGGGUUACGGGUCACCCAGGCGACGAAAACUUGCCCAACCGAGAGGGUGAUCGGACAAACUGGGACUGAGACACGGCCCAGACUACUACGGGAGGGAGCAGUAGGGAAUUUUCGGCAAUGGACGGAAGUCUGACCGAGCAACGCCGCGUGAGUGAAGAAGGUUUUCGGAUCGUAAAGCUCUGUUGUAAGAGAAGAACGAGUGUGAGAGUGGAAAGUUCACACUGUGACGGUAUCUUACCAGAAAGGGACGGCUAACUACGUG